Long non-coding RNA from Trichoplusia ni (cabbage looper), 655 nucleotides. RefSeq lists it as uncharacterized. Lineage: Eukaryota; Metazoa; Arthropoda; Insecta; Lepidoptera; Noctuidae. The transcript has 2 exons. The record is from RefSeq and is a predicted model, not a curated record.
GCCCUGACGCCCUGUUGUUGUUCACAUGAGUAUAAGUGUGAACUUAACGGACAGCUACGGUUGCCAAAUGCUGUGGUCCUAAACUAACAUUUGCUUAAAACUUGGUAAACAUGAUCGUUAUUUACUUUACUGCAUGCAGUUAAGAGCGGCCUGCAGUUGAAGCAGACAACAAUUAAUAAUUGUAAAAUACUUUUUUGUAUCAAAUAUGAUAUUUGAUGUUUGGUGAAGUGUUGUUCGAUUUUUAUAAUAAUUGUGCCAAUAUUUAGAUUAUCUGUGGUCCCAUGACCAACCGAAUCAAAAUGCUGAUUAAACUUCAGGCCUCGGCCUCGUGUGUUUUUCAAGCGUCUUUUUUUUAAUAUUUAUAGAAUGUUUCAUUAGCGUUUUUUUAAGUUUUCAUAAAAAAUACACAAUUUUGAAUUUGUUCCGGCACUAGGACCUUCAUUCUUUUGGGUACCACACGCAAAGAGAAAAUACCCUGUAUAUACACAGUGUAGCGAGUAACUCGCGCUUGAUUGAUUUUUAUUAUAAAUUUAUGUUCAUUGUUUUAUAGGCACUUUCCGUACACAUUUAUGUUCUGAAUAAUGAGUAGUCUAUGUGUAUGUGUUAAUGUAGCUGUCUGAACAUUUGUGUUUGAAACUCAAGUUUGAAUACGAAG